RNAcentral lists this ribosomal RNA (254 nucleotides) under uncultured bacterium. RNAcentral's name for it is "partial 16S ribosomal RNA". It matches the Rfam family "Bacterial small subunit ribosomal RNA", at positions 524 to 776 of the family's 1533-position model. The record is from RNAcentral.
UACGGGGGGAGCAAGCGUUGUUCGGAUUUACUGGGCGUAAAAGGCGCGUAGGCGGUCAGCACAAGUCAGUUGUGAAAUCUCCGGGCUUAACUCGGAAAGGUCAACUGAUACUGUGCGACUAGAGUGCAGAAGGGGCAACUGGAAUUCUCGGUGUAGCGGUGAAAUGCGUAGAUAUCGAGAGGAACACCUGCGGCGAAGGCGGGUUGCUGGGCUGACACUGACGCUGAUGCGCGAAAGCCAGGGGAGCGAACGGG